This 253-nucleotide ribosomal RNA is filed under the name uncultured bacterium. RNAcentral's name for it is "partial 16S ribosomal RNA". It matches the Rfam family "Bacterial small subunit ribosomal RNA", at positions 524 to 776 of the family's 1533-position model. The record is from RNAcentral.
UACGUAUGGUGCAAGCGUUAUCCGGAUUUACUGGGUGUAAAGGGAGCGCAGGCGGCACGGCAAGCCUGAUGUGAAAGCCCGCGGCCCAACCGCGGGACUGCAUUGGGAACUACCGGGCUGGAGUGCCGGAGAGGUAGGCGGAAUUCCAGGUGUAGGAGUGAAAUCCGUAGAUAUCUGGAGGAACAUCAGUGGCGAAGGCGGCCACCUGGGCCGGUAUUGACGCUGAGGCGCGAAAGCGUGGGGAGCAAACAGG